This 503-nucleotide ribosomal RNA is filed under the name uncultured cyanobacterium. Its description in RNAcentral is "bacterial SSU rRNA". It matches the Rfam family "Bacterial small subunit ribosomal RNA", at positions 947 to 1449 of the family's 1533-position model. Lineage: Bacteria; Bacillati; Cyanobacteriota. The record is from RNAcentral.
UAAUUCGAUGCAACGCGAAGAACCUUACCAGGGUUUGACAUCCUGCGAAUCCCUUGGAAACGAGGGAGUGCCUUCGGGAGCGCAGAGACAGGUGGUGCAUGGCUGUCGUCAGCUCGUGUCGUGAGAUGUUGGGUUAAGUCCCGCAACGAGCGCAACCCACGUCUUUAGUUGCCAGCAUUUAGUUGGGCACUCUAGAGAGACCGCCGGUGAUAAACCGGAGGAAGGUGUGGAUGACGUCAAGUCAUCAUGCCCCUUACAUCCUGGGCUACACACGUACUACAAUGCUACGGACAAAGGGUUGCAAACUCGCGAGAGCUAGCUAAUCCCAUAAACCGUGGCUCAGUUCAGAUCGUAGGCUGCAACUCGCCUACGUGAAGGAGGAAUCGCUAGUAAUCGCAGGUCAGCAUACUGCGGUGAAUACGUUCCCGGGCCUUGUACACACCGCCCGUCACACCAUGGAAGUUGGCCACGCCCGAAGUCGUUACUCCAACCCGUAAGGGAGG